GGAUGCGAUCAUACCAGCACUAAAGCACCGGAUCCCAUCAGAACUCCGAAGUUAAGCGUGCUUGGCGAGAGUAGUACUAGGAUCGGUGACCUCCUGGGAAGUCCUCGUGUUGCAUUCC
This 118-nucleotide ribosomal RNA is filed under the name Triticum aestivum (bread wheat). Lineage: Eukaryota; Viridiplantae; Streptophyta; Magnoliopsida; Poales; Poaceae. The record is from RNAcentral.